This 339-nucleotide transfer-messenger RNA is filed under the name Lachnospiraceae bacterium. It matches the Rfam family "transfer-messenger RNA". From Rfam's summary of the family: Bacterial tmRNA, also known as 10Sa RNA or SsrA, is named for its dual tRNA and mRNA-like properties. Its role is to liberate the mRNA from a stalled ribosome. The record is from RNAcentral. Lineage: Bacteria; Bacillati; Bacillota; Clostridia; Lachnospirales; Lachnospiraceae.
GGGGCAGUACCGGUUUCGACAGGGAUCAUGCAGCUGGUGAAGCUAUCCGCAGCCAUGCGUCAAAUGGCAAAACUAAAUAUAAACGCUGAAGACAAUUUAGCACUCGCCGCUUGAUUGCGGCUGUCGGCCUAGCGGCACCCACACCGCUAGAACCCGGCAUCGACUAUGUGGGAAACGAUAUGCGCAAAGCUUUGAGCGUAUAGGCGUAACAUGAAGCUACCAAAACCAUCAGGGCGCCCGUUCCCGGUUGGCAGAGGGAAUGUCAAACAUCGGGCUAUGAUAGUAGAAGAACAGGGAAUUGGUUUUUGGACACGGGUCCGACUCCCGUCUGCUCCACGA